Molecule: long non-coding RNA, 469 nt
Organism: Paramisgurnus dabryanus
Lineage: Eukaryota; Metazoa; Chordata; Actinopteri; Cypriniformes; Cobitidae
Source: RefSeq, a predicted model, not a curated record
UGUUAGCCUGUUAUAUCGAAGUAGUACACCCGAUUGUUUUGUUAAAUAUAUGUAUUGGUGUGUAUGUAUAUGUUAAUGAAAAAAGGUAGCGUCAGAAAAUCAGUUUUUUAAUGUAGCGUGAAAGUUAACCAUUUAUUGACUGUUUAGAGGUUGUAAGGCUUUUACCUAACUGUAUUUAGUAUUAAUGAUGCUGCAUUCUUUCCUCAGAAGCUAAAGUUUUUCAAAGACAUUUGUAGGGAGGACUUUGCAGCUAAUGGAGCUGAAGUAUUUUAUGUAAGGAGGAUUUUGCAGCCCAUAUAGAUUUCCUUAGGCUGAACCAAAACCUGCCAGACUAAAGUUGAUUUGGGAGAGAAAGACGUUGAAAACUCAGUCAUCUUGACAUUCUUCAAUGAGUUAUUGUUCAAUUUUUAGGCAAAUACUGUACACUUUGAAUGCUGUGAAUAAAACUAUAUUUUAAAUAUAUUUAAAA